This 455-nucleotide ribosomal RNA is filed under the name uncultured bacterium. RNAcentral's name for it is "bacterial SSU rRNA". It matches the Rfam family "Bacterial small subunit ribosomal RNA", at positions 340 to 786 of the family's 1533-position model. The record is from RNAcentral.
UACGGGAGGGCAGCAGUGGGGAAUAUUGCACAAUGGGCGCAAGCCUGAUGCAGCCAUGCCGCGUGUAUGAAGAAGGCCUUCGGGUUGUAAAGUACUUUCAGUCGUGAGGAAGGUGUUAAGGUUAAUAACCUUAGCAAUUGACGUUAGCGACAGAAGAAGCACCGGCUAACUCCGUGCCAGCAGCCGCGGUAAUACGGAGGGUGCGAGCGUUAAUCGGAAUUACUGGGCGUAAAGGGCACGCAGGCGGUUAAUUAAGUUGGAUGUGAAAUCCCCGGGCUUAACCUGGGAAUGGCAUUCAAGCUGGUUAGCUAGAGUCUUGUAGAGGGGGUAGAAUUCCAUGUGUAGCGGUGAAAUGCGUAGAGAUGUGGAGGAAUACCGGGUGGCGAAGGCGGCCCCUGGGACAAAGACUGACGCUCAUGUGCGAAAGCGUGGGGAGCAAACAGGGAUUAGAUACC